UUAAUUGUUUAUAUCAGCAGUUGGUUUUUUAUUAAAAUUUAUGUUUUUUAAGAAUGUUUUAAAUUAUAGGGGAUAGGACACAGUGCCAGCAUCCGCGGUUAUUCUGUUUUCUUUGCUUUUUUGUAGAUGUAGUUUAGAUAUUUUUUUAAAAUAAUAGGUGAAAUUUUGUUUGGUUUGUAUUAGAUAUUUAGAUUUUAUUAAAUAUUUAUUAUGACAGGGAUUAGAUACCCCAUUAAUUUAUUUUUUAUUUUUUCUUAGUUUUUUAACUAAAAUGGUUUGGCAGCAAGUGAAUCCAUUCAGGGGAAGGUGUCAAGUAAAGGAUGGUCCGCCUAUUAAUUUACUCUUUUUAUGUUGGUGUAUAUCUGGUUUAAUAUUGUUGUUUAAUGAUUUUAAUUUGUGUAUUUUUAUUUAAGCUAAGUCUAUGUGCUGUUUAUUGGAGUUUAAAUGCGUUACAUUUAUAUGGUAACAUUUGUAAAGAUGUUAUUUUUAGGACUUGAUAGUAAUACCUUAUUAGUUUGUUGGUGUGAAUGUGGUUUAGCUUGGGUACACACCGCCCGUCGCCCUCGAUUUUUGUUGAGGUAAGUCGUAACAAGGUAACUUUAGAUGAAUUUGAAGUUGGUUAUUAUUGUCUUUUU
Molecule: ribosomal RNA, 635 nt
Filed under: Dipylidium caninum
Lineage: Eukaryota; Metazoa; Platyhelminthes; Cestoda; Cyclophyllidea; Dipylidiidae
Description: 12S ribosomal RNA
Source: RNAcentral